AAUGCUAGACGAUGAGCAUGAAUAAAUACUGCCAUCCGUAUAAGAUCUUGUGGUAGAACGUGAAGAGCAACUAGCUGAAGAUAUUAUUCCGGAACGCAAGGUCACAACGACACGCAAAGGUGAAUGUGAAUCCUUCCGUGUUGGACGGAAAUGUUAAAAACCAAGUGCCGCUAAGGGGGCAUUUGGAUUGACGAAUCUGUAGAUCCAACAUAACUCAAGUGCAGUGGUGUUUGAGCUUUCCUGAAGUGUAAUUAUUUUUCUGUUGUUGGUUUUGACUUAACUCAUAUAGUUUGAAAGUUAAAUUCAAUUAUUUCUUCUGUUUGUUUUGAUGUAACUUGGUAUUGGUGAAAUUAAUUUUUCAGUUUCAUUGUUUAUUUUGAUGUAAGUAAGUGAAUUUCGUUAUCUCCUAAAUAUAGUGGUAAACUUAUUGCUAUAAAAUUUAACCUAUUAUAUAAUUAAAUUUUUUAUUAUUAUUCAAAGGUAAUCCUAAUUUGUUAUAAAUAAGGUAAUUCUAACCCAUUAUAAAGGAAGUAGAGUUUAGGUUUUACUAUUUAAUAAAUUUUUUAGAGAAGGUUGAGUGUGACGGAAGUCGAGUUUGGCACUUUAGAGGAGGAAGUCGAGAGUAGAUGAAGUGGAGAUCUAACAUAACUUGAGUUACAUUAUAUUUUUGACUUACACCAAAACAAAUAACGGAAGUGAUGGAACUUGAGUUCCAUCCCUCUACUUACACCCAAACAGACGGACUCAAGUGGUUCAUGAGGGAAUUAAGCUAGGAAAACUCGGUUCCCUCACUUGCCGUUCUAGAUCUAGUAGGUGUUGGUUAUUUCUCUCAAAAUUAGAAAGCCAUGAUCUUGGAUGGUCAAAAUUCCAGAUAAGUUUCAACCGUUGCGGAUAAGGUGGAGGCGGUUUCAACUAUUUCAAUUGGGAUAGAGAUCAAGAUGCUUUCGGCGAAUCAGAAGAAGGAUCAAAUUGUUAAAUUAAUUUAGAUAAGGAUAAAAUGAUAGGUGAUUUUUUUUUUUUCAAAUAUUUUGUCCUUAUUUCAUUGUAAGCUUGAAAGGCUAUAAAUAGGGACUCUAUUUGCUCUUAUAAAGGCUGACAUAAUAAAUAUACAAAAUUUUUCCACUCACUGCUCCUUGUAUUUUUCUUUUCUAAUUGAUCCGAUUUCAGAUAUCCAUCGGGGAGGCGCCGCGACAUUACUUCCUCCUCCGGCGGAUUGGCUGCAAACUGGGAGUAACAUAUACUCUAAUUUAAUUAUGGGCGUAUUUUUAGUCCAUCCGAACAGCAAUAUAGUAAAAAAAAAUUCUAUUCUGUGGUGUAAUGUCACUAUACCCUAUUUUAAAGACUAUCCAAACAGACCCAAGAGGUAAGCAUAUUUCUACGUCAAUAAUCAGAUCCUUGGCCGGUAACCCAUAAGAGUUGGCUCUGUAUGUUCCUAUGUCAUGCUUUUGCAAACAAAUCUCGCAAAAUGAUGUGUCUUAAACUAAGAUCUUUCCUUAAUCUCAUCUUGAAUUACUUAAUUGUCCGAUUUGACCGAAACCUACACAGGCGGCCGGGUUCAUCACGAUUCCUGGUUUGUGAUAAUAUAUUUAUUUUAUUUUAUUUAAUUUUACAUUAUAUUAAUUUAUUUAUUUACUUUUAUAAAAUUUUGUUCCAAUUGUAAUUCGUAAUAAUUAGAUAAUUAGCCUUUAAAUGUAUUUUUAUAAAAUAAAACAAAUAAUCAGUCAUUACAACAUGAGCUCGUGGAACUCGCUGGAUAUCACGAUGAUGGAGGGGGGGGGGCAAUAUUAGAGAUCAUUUGAUUAGAUGUAAUUAAUUAUAAGGGGUCGUUUGGUUUGAUGUAAUAUUAAAUACAGUAUAGUUGGAGAUACAUGAAUUGAAAAAUACAGCAGUUGCAACUUCAUGUCAUUUCGUUCGUUGUAAUAAAAAGCAUUGCAACUAUAAAUAAUUUAUUUGGCUGCAUGUAUUUAAAAAUAAUUUUUAGAAUUUAUUUUUAAUAUAUUAUAUAUAUAUUAUUAUAUAUUAUAUUAUUAUAUAUAUAUAAUAUAUAUUAUAGAUAUAUAUAUAUAUGAUGGUGAGAUUAUCUCUAAUAUAAAAAAUAAAAAAAUUUUGUUUAAAAAAUAAUUAAAGAGGUAAGCAUACAUUUUGUUUAAAAGUUACUCUUUCUAACUAUUCCAGUUGAAACUGCGGCUAAUUUGGGCGUAGUUCCAAUUAUUGUAGUCGGGCCUCCUCCUAUAGUUCAUAUUGCAGCAAUUGAAGUUAAAUACGUCAAAGCAAACAUCGAAUUUGUAUUUGAAUUGCAGUUGUAGUUGUAACUGCACGCUACCAAACAGCCCCUAAAUGUAAUGCCGUUAGUGGUGCAUAUGUUUGAGAAUACAUCAUUUACAAUUAAUAAAAAGCAUUGUAACUACAAACAUUUGCAUUCAAUUAAGAAUUUGCAUUUACAAAUUUUAUCACUUUAUAUAGUAUGGUAAAAUUACCUUAAAAGAUGAUUAAGGAAAUAAGAUUAUUUUUUGUUAAUAAUUAUUUUUUCCAAUUCUAACAAUUGAGUGUCCAUAUAUAGUUCUCAAAUUCAAAUAAACUAAACCAAGUACCAAAGUCUUUGGUACUAUUGAGUUUUUGGCCGUUGGAUGAAUAGAUGUGCGGUUAGGAUGAUAGUGGUCCCCGGUUAAAUUGAUAGUGGUCCUCUAGGGUUGAGUGGGUGGUUGGUUUAAUAAUAUAAUCUAACGGGUGGAAAUGAUAAAAGGGUAGAUCUAACGGUAGAAAACUCAAUAGUAUCAAGGGCUUGAUACUAUCGAUAGUAUAGUAGCCGGACUAUAUAUAUAUAUAUAUAUAUAUAUAACUAGGCUACUAUACUAUCGGUAGCACAGAGCGCUUCGUGCUACCAAGUUGUUUUUGAUGAUGCGGCUUCUAAAUCGACGAUCGACUCCGUUAGACUUGAUCUACACUAUUGAAAGUAUUUAAAAACUAAAUUUCAUAAUUUUUCGAUAUUAUUUAUCUAUCAAACAAGUAGUCUAAAAUUGAACGGCUGAAAAUAAAAAUCUCAUGAAAAAUGAUGAUAAAAGAUUUAAAUUCAAUAUCAGAUAUACUUAUCUUACACUAAAUAGUAAAAAAAAAAUUUCUAUAAAAUUUUCAUCGCAUUUGGAUUGUUUUACAUUGUUAAACUCACAAACACACCACAUCGGCCAUUAAAAUUGUUAAACUUUGAGAUUUUUGAUCACUAGUCAAAUGAUGUCGAAAAAAUCUAAAAUUUAGUUUCCAAAUACUUUCAAUAGUGUAGAUCAAAUCUAACGGAGCCGAUCGUCGAUUUGGAAGCCGCAUUAUCGAAAACAACUUGGUAACACGGAGCACUCCGUGCUACCGAUAGCAUAGUAGCCGCACUCUAUAUAUAUAUAUAUAUAUAUAUAGAGAGAGAGAGAGAGAGAGAGAGAGAGAGAGAGAGAGAGAGAGAGUUGGCCUAGAAUACUAUUAAUAGUAUUUGCCUCAUUUUGUUAGUCUUUGAAUUUAUUUUUUUUUAUCAUUUCUAAUAAUAUUAUAACUCAGUGGGACCACUCAACCCUAGGGGGACCACUUAAUCCUAAGGGACUAGUAUCAUGCUAACCAUACAAUUUCUCAUCGGUUAAAAACUUGAUAGCAAACGAGAGCAAAUACUAUCAAUAGUAUUCCAGCCCAACUCUCUCUCUCUCUCUCCCUCUCUCUCUCUCUCUCUCUCUCUCUAUAUAUAUAUAUAUAGAGAGAGAGAGAGAGAGAGAAGGUCUUGUGUGCUAUUAGGAACACGGAGGCCUCCGUGCUCCUAAGCCAUUUUCGACAAUGGAGCUUACGAAUCAACGAUCAGCUCCGUUAGACUUGAUCUAGUAUAUUUGAAGUAUCUAGUAUACAAAUUUUGUGAUUUUUCGAUAUCAUUUACCUAGUGAUCAAAAGGGCUCAAAAUCAACAAUUUUUAAUGGUUGAUGUAUAUCGUUUGCAAGUUUAACGAUGUAGAGGUAUUCAAAUAAGAUGAAAUUUUGAUCGAAAAUUCUUUAUGCUAUUUACUGUAAGAUCAAUAUCUCUGAUUGAAAAUUUUAGUGCUAUAUCACCACUUUUUGUGACAUUUUUAUUUUCAGCCGUUGAUUUUGAACUCUUUCGAUUGCAAGGUCAAUGAUAUCGAAAAAUCUCAAAAUUUAUUUUCUAAAUACUUCAAAUAUACGAAAUCAAGUCUAACGGAGCCGAUCGUCGAUUCGCAAACUCCAUCGUCGAAAAUGGCUUAGAAGCACGGAGGCCACUGUGCUCCUAAUAGCACACAAGACCUUCUCUCUCUCUCUCUCUAUAUAUAUAUAGUUAUAUAGUUAUAACUACAAUACAUUUAACUAUAUAUAAUCAAAUAAUCCCUUGAAGGUUCCAUAAUAUACGGUAAGUUGGUCAGCGACUUCUGAACUACGAGAGGUGUUUUGAAAUAUCGAACUUUUUAUAGUUUCUUAUGCUUAAAUAGAUUGGCCUUACAGUUCAUCCCAAAUUAAACAAACAUUCCCUAGUUAAAGUCUUUCAUUGAUUAGUUUUUAGUAGAUAGUUAAUUCUGUGUCUAUGUCAUUGACUUAACCUCCAAGAGUUUAAGUUGGUUCACUCAUCAACACGCUACUAUAAAAAGUCAAAACCACAAUGGAUUUAUUCAGUUUCGACAAUAAUGCGGAUAAAACUUCGACUGACUGUUGAUAAAACUUGAACAAAUAAAUUAAUAAAAUAGGUAAAAGGGACGUAUAGCCCUCACAUGCACCCAAGCGCGUAAUGCGAGAAGCACCUGUGUGAACAUUAAGGCAGCGGCGCUUGGUAGCGUUGCAAUUUUUAAUUUAUUUUCUAAAUAUGAAUUUUAAGUAAUAGAAUGUGUGCGCAGAACAUUAGGAGUGCUUACAUUAGCAAUAAAAAGGAUAAAAAAUUAGUACAAACAAUGACGAUAAGGGUGCGUUUGGUUUGCACUAUGAAAGAUUACUAACAAUAAAAAGAUGUCCGAAAAUCUUAUUCUUAUUCAUCCUAUUACUAAGAAUAUGACAUUCCUGUGUUUGGUUUGCACGGUCAUAUUAUUUAGUCAUAUUAUUUAAGUUUACAAAAAAAUACAAUUAAUUAAUUUAUUUUUUAAUUAAUUUUAAAUAGUGCUACUAAAAAUUUCAACAUUUUUUUAGAAAAAAGGAAGAGAGAUGUCAUGCCCCGGGGUCCCUUUUAGUUUAAACCAUAGCGGAAAGACGUCUGAAAAUUUUUUUUUUUUUUUUUAAAAGCCUGACCCCAGAGUAUGCCAGAUCCGCCACAAAUUCAGGGAAUCCACUGUUCACACGGACAGAGUCUCCCCUGUAUUUGCACGGCGUCACACAAGUACAAGAAGUAACCCAGGUACAACCACAACCAAAUGAACAUACAAAUAACCAACAAUUAUAUGUUCAUACACCAUUCACAUCACAGGUUCACAUUUAUAUAUUCGAUAUUUGAACAUAAAUCCACAUCUAUCAGUUAAAAUGUUUCCAACCACAGAAACAGGUUUUGAAAUACUAAGAGUAAUAACUAUACCGAAAUAACCUGGGUCGGAAGCUCUAUCGUCCGCUACACACGUACCUCACGUCUCGUCCCACUGUACAUCGCCCGCGAUACCUGAAAAUGUGGGGGAGGUUGAGAACAUGUAUAACAUGCUCUCCCCCUCCAGUGGAGUACCGCAAGCCCGAAGAAGGCGAGGAGUACUCACCGGAUCAGGAAAACUACUACAACGACACGGCAUCGUCAGUGGAGAAAAUAGGUUAACGAGCAGAUAUUCAUUGACGAUAAAUGAGGGAAGUAAGAACAUAUACUGAAUAAACGGCUACCGCUACUGUGAAAUAGAACAGAAAGCAUACAUGAAUAUCUUAUAGUACCAUGACACUAUAAAGUAGAUCUCUGUAAGUAUGCAUGCAACGACUGCUCUAUAAAACAUAUGCAUCAAUGGACAAUCAGUCAAAGCUACCCAAUCUGGAACCAAUGCUCUCUUCGGUCAGCACCCCCAGACCUCAAGCCAAUGCCCGCGAGGUCCGCACCGAACACCUGCCGGACAGUACCACUGCCGCUCUAACAGACAUAUAACCCUUGGGCUCACGUGGUUUGUCCACCAUUCAACCACUUUUCCGGAAAGGACACUCCUAUGCGGGAUGGAUCAGACCGCCGGUGUUCGUUGAAAAUGCAACGAGUAUCGGUGCGAUCAAUGCAAUAUUGGUCAAUGAUCAACGGUCUGGCAACAGCCGACAAUCCUGCCCCCCAGGGCCUUAUUCGCGUAUAGGUCAUCAACUGUAAAGAAGCACAAGAACCGACCACUCAGGUCAACUAGGAUGGGACAACAUCGACAUCCUCUCAAACAUAUGCAAAUACUGACUAAUCAAGUCAACUGGGAUGGCACAACUCAACAUCCUACCCACAGUAUGUAGAUACUGAUCAAUGAGUCAACUACUGUAUAUAUGCAAGAAUCGGUCAACAAGUCAUCUGAGUAUAUGAUCUAGAACUACCGUCGGCCACUAGUCGACAAUCCUACCCCUCAGGGUACACCGACCUCAAAGGUCAUCAAACAACAAGAGUCAAGGAACAAACCGACUAUAUACCGAUAUAAGAUACAAGAACGAAUCAACUAGGUUACUGAUUUUACAUAAAAUCACGAAACCGCUCUACUCUAAACAUGAUACAGGAUAUGCAGAAUAGCUAAGUAGAGCAAUAAAGAAAUAUGGUGUAACUACUCUACUCCUACUCAUGGUAUAAAGAGAACAACCGAGUAGAGUGUAACUAAACAACAUGGUGCUAGGCUCAACACUAUAUAUCAAGAUAUAUAUAUGCUAAAUAAUAACGAAAGAGCAAAGGUAAGAAACCAUCACCGAGCGUGCACCACUGUACCGACGUCGGAUCGAAGUACCCACCUGUACAACUGUCGCGCCUGUCUCCUGACUGCAAAAGAACGUCAACAGGACCUAAGGGGGGUCCACUGGGUUAGUGUCUAACCCACAACUAAGAAACCCUAAAAGCAUAACCCACAAACAAUCCCACGGAGAUCGGUUUCCCAAUACCGAUUACCGUAACUCGCCGGAAGUCCCGAAACCACACCGGGACGCCGUCGGGACCCACUAAGUGUCCCGAAACUCACCGACUCGUGUCACGAGUCACCUACUGCCCCAAAACACUCCAAUUUGGAUGUUUUGGUAGUAAAUACAAGAUAACACCCCUACACAAUUGUCGCCGGAUAAUUGUGCGAAUUCGGGUUCCCGAAAGUGUCUAUUUCGACACCGGAACCCACCGUCGCUCACCCAUCAUCACUGAACCCACAAUGUGAUGAUGGUGACCGGCCAACAAGGCUUAGCGACUACUCACAGAGCAACCCAACAACGUCGGAAGAAAUCCGAACCGAAACCGCGUUCUUUCGGCGAAUUUCGUCGAAAAACGUGCCGGAAUCGACUUUUCGAUUUCCGUGAAAGCUACAGGAUCAUGGACAAUCAGUCCAGAGGUCAAACACACUCAUACACACUGCCCACAGUAGCCACAAGGUGCACAAUUGCACAAAAGCCCGUAUAUUUACAUAAAAUCCCAACAUUUUAUGUAAAUCGGACGAUAACAUGGCUCGUUCACGCAAACCGAGGACUUCCAAGGUCUACAGAGACACGUACUGACAGGUCUCGACGUACUGGAGGCCGUGCUCACGAUCUGGAGCACAAUGGCUCACUGUGGGAAGCGCGGGAGCAACCCGAAGUUCUGCGAACAGCGCGCAGUCGGGGAAGAUCGCGCCAAACAGGGCUAACCGGACACUGUUGAUCCAAAGUGAGGUGAGCACUGUGAUCAGUACUGACCAACGAUCACCGUGCUCACCUCCGGAGGCAUCAGGACAGCCUCAGAUCGCCGGAUAAGCGUGCGCAACCCCAAAACAACAGCCAAACAGGCUCGAUAGGGUCGACAAUGCCGAAACAGCUGAACGGAGUCUCCCCGACAGAAUCUAAGGUGAGCACGAUGAUCAGCAAUUUGCUACGAUCAUCGUGCUCCCUUCCGCAGAGAUCGGGGAGGCUCGAGAAGCUCGGAACAGUAAACCAUCCUAACUAAGCCCUAUUUCGGGCUCGGCCGGAGCAAGGUUGCUCCGGCCGGCUUCCGGCGGCACGGCGGCGCGCGCGGGAGCCUGGGAUGGGUGCGGGGGAGGUGAGGAACACGGUGCUCACCUCAUUUGGCGGCGGGGAGCGGCGGCAGUGACGGCGGAGAGUCUUGAGCCCGCACGAGCUCGGGCUCGGGCUCCAACGAAGCUACGGCCACGGCGGUGGCCGGGGCUCCUCGGGGACGACGGCGGCAGGUCCACAGAGGCCGGAGGAGGAGGAGGAAGGCGGCGGGCGACAGCGGCGGCGGCCCGCGGCUCGGGCGUUGCCGCUCGAGCCAGGCUCGGUCUGCAGACCUGGGCGGCGGCGCCCAAGGUUCAGGGCGGCGGCGGCGAUCCGAAGGGCUGCGGCGACCGACCGGGAAGGUCGGUGGGACACAGGAGAAGGCCGCGGGAGUGGACCAAGGCGGCUGCGACGCGGGGGUGGAGUUACCAAGUCUGCUCGGUCCGAGCAGACCUGGGAUGGCUGCAGGGUGGCCGCGGCGGCGGCGGCGGCUCGCAGGAGCGCCGGCGACCCGCCGGGGUGGUCGCCGAGGGUCCGGGGACGGCGGCCGAAGCGGGUGCAGGCGGUGGCUGCGCGCGGGGAGGCCGCGAGUCAUCCUCGACCUAAGCUCGGCUUAGGCAGCAGCCGGGUGCAUCAGCGGCCGCGGCGGCGCUUGGCGACGGCGGCGGUCGGCGGGGAUGCUCGCCGGAGCACGGGGCGACACCGGCGGAGGGUCUGGAGGUGGCGGCAGUCUCGGGCUUCCUCACAACCCGAGAUAAGAGAGAAGGAGAGAGAGGAUUAUGGUGCGGCUGCGGCGGCUGGCCGGCCGGACCCGGUCGGCGGCGGCCGGGAGGCGCGCGGCCAGGUCAGAGGGAGGCAAGAACGUGGCUGGGGUGCAGUUAUGGCUAGGGUUAGGGUUAGGGAAUCAAAAACCCUAGGUACACUAUAUAUACAUAAGGUGCAAAUUGCAAGUAAGUCCUCCAAAACUCAGAAUUUCAUAACGAGUCCUCCACAGCGCGUGUAAAACGCGAGAAUACCCCUCCACGUGCGAUCCCACGCAAAACGGUACAUAAAAUGUCGCAUCUUUUGCGAAAUUACAAUUUGCCAACACCGACCUCUCCUCGAUCAACGUGCGAUCUCCGCAGAUCCGUCCGUCAGAUUUGCGAACGGAUUGUACCAGUGCGAUCAGCACCUCGGAGACAACAAAGCUACGAUUUUGUUUCACCACGAUCGACCACGGAUUCACGACAAAAUCCAAACUUUCUUUCCAAUAGAAGGAAUAACACAUAAAUACAUAUAAAACAUGUAUUUUCGGAUUUUCUCGAAAUUCGUGCAUCAAACUCAAAAUCCGUCAGCGCCAGAAGUUCCAGAAUAGCUGAACCGGUCGAAACGAGCUAUUGGACUGAUAUGAACGGAGUCCGAUACGCACCAGAGCCAACUCUACUCCGUGGCUUCUCCGGAAAACCGGAGUUACUAUUCACUUAAGUGAAAACUAAAAAUCGCGUAUCUUCUCCAUUUUAGCUCAGUUUCUCCUGUAACUUGACGAGUGCUUAUGUAAUUAGAUUACACAUAUAAACAUCAUCAACCGAGAGUUUAGUUGCACAGUCAAAAAUCUCAGUCCUUACAAGAGAACACAGGUUAGAGAGAGAGCAUAAUUAAAGAAAUAGAAAGAGAAAUAGAGUCGAGAUUAUAGGGAGUGGGAGAGUUGAGAUUAUAGAAAAAGAGGGGGAGAGAGAGCUUAGUUUAGAGAGAGAAAAAAAAUAAAAGUUUAGAGACAAAAAGAUAAGUUUAGAGAGAGAUUCGAGAUUAGAGUGUAAAGAAAAAUAAUACCAACUAGCCGGCGGGUAGGAAGAAAGAAAGAGAUUGGACAUAUUAUGAUUACCCUAAUCCAUUAAUAUGAAAAUAUCCAUCCUCCCUCAAGGGAAUGAGAUUGUACUUUGGGAUGAAUCUCUUUCCCAAGUAAAUCCAAUAUUACCAACUAGAUUACUUAGUGCGUUUAGUCAAACACCGUCAUAUUUUUUUUAUUUCUAUUGGAUUAUUAGAAAUUUUAAAAAGAUAGCGCGAACCAAACGCACCCUAAUAAGAGUAAAGAAGUUUAUCCGCUCUCUCUCUCUCUCUAUAUAUAUAUAUAAGUUGAGAUAGAAUAUAUAUAGAGAGCAGGACUACUAUACUCUUAUGAAUAUAGAUUCAUUCGUACUCAUAAGUUGUUUAGAUUAUGGAGCUUCUGAAUUGACAAUCCAUAUUGUUAAAUAUGAUCUAUAGUAUUUGAAACUAUUAGAAAAUAAAUUUCAUAAUUUAUUGAAAUUAUAUUGAAGUUCAUCAAGCGAGCAUAAAAUGAAUGGUUAAACUUGAACGACCUCAUAAAAAUAGAGGAUCGGAUGCUUCAAUUUAAGAUCGGAGUUAUCGAUCUUUAUUCAUAUAGUGAAUAGAAUUUUCUAUAAAAAAUUCAACCUAUUUUGAGUCUAUUACACCGUUAAAUUAGUAAGUAACUCAUACCGGCCAUUAAAAAUUAUCAAUUUUAAGAUCUUCUGGUCUUAAAGUAAAUAAUGUCGAAAAAUUAUGAAAUUAGAUUUUUAGAAGUUUUAAAUACUCCAAAUUAUGUUUAAUAUUAUGGAUCGUCGAUUUGAAAGCUAUCAUCGAAAGCGACCUAUAAGUAUGAAGACGAUCGUACUUAUAAGAGUAUAGUAGUAUAUAUAUAUAGAGAGAGAGAGAGAGAGAGUCCAUCUACUAUCCUAUUAAUAGGAUUGAGGACAUUAAUUGUCUUAUCAAGUCGUUUUGAAUGAUCGGAGCUUAAAAUUCAUAAUCGGUACUGUUGAAAUUGAUCUACACAAUUAGAAAUGUUUAGAAACCAAAUUUUAUAAUAUUUAAAAAUCAUUAUCAAGUUUGUCGAAGAGUUUGAAAAAUGAACGGUCAUAAAUGAAUAACCUUCUUAAAAUAGAGGUUAGACUUUCUCAAUUCAUAACCAGAGUUAUCAAACAUUAUCUAAAUAGUAUAAAAAACUUUCUAUCAAAAAUUCAAGCAAUUUGGAUUGCUCGACACCAUUAAACGAGCAAACGGCUCAUAUAAGCCGUCAAAAAUUGUCGAUUUUACGACACUUUGAUCACCAUGUAAAUAAUUUUUAAAAUUUAUGAAAUUUAGUUUCUAGAUAUUUCAAAUACUCUAGAUCAACUUCAAUGGCUCUGAUCAUCGAUUCGGAAUCUCUAUCAUCAAGAACAACUUGAUAGGACAAGUGCUACUAUCCUCUUAAGCCCUAGCCUAUAUAUAUAUAUAUAUAUAUAUAUAUAUAUAUAUUAUAUAGUUGAGCUAGGGAUACUUUUUACAAGUAUCACCUAUGGUGCUUAAGUUUUACCAUUGGAUCUUAUCGUCUUGAUACUAAUUAUUCCUUGGAUCAAGACACGUAUUUCAAUCUACCACACCUUCUCAACCUCACAUCUCUCCAUCUAAGGGCUAAAAACACUAAAGCACCACCCCCAUGGUACUUGUAAAAGUAUUCUAGCUCCACUCUCUCUCUCUCUCUCUCUCUCUCUCUCUAUAUAUAUAUAUAUAUAUAUAUAUAUAUAACGACAUAAAUAAAAAAUAGAAUCACAAUAUCAUCAAAGAAAGAGCACAAAAUCCAUCACGGUAUCAUCGGAAAAAAAAGAACACAAAAUCCGUCACUAAACUAACUGAAAAUGUCACCAUCAUUUCAUUAUUUAACAGAUAAAAAAGUUGAACCAAAAUGUGAAUUUUUAAUCAUUACUUAAACAAAAUUCUGUCUCUCUCCCACCAGUCAUUGCUUAUAUGCAAAAUACACUUAAAGUAAGAAAAAUAAUAAAAUAAACAUUAGUAAAUCAUCGGAAUUGAUAAAGUUAGUAAAAAAUAAAAAUUUAAUAAGAAUUCACAUAAAUAAAAAUUUUUACCUUAGUUUUAUUUCUUAAGUUUCUGGAAUAGGUAAAUUGAGCAUAAUUUUACUCGCAAAACUCAUUGCUAAAUAAAUUUAAAAUACUAUAGAAAGAAUAAAAUAUUAAAAAGUAUAUUUACCCUAAUUAUUGAUGAUAACAUCACUGCUAUUAAUACAACAACUGAAUUGUUUGCAAUAGCAUCUCUUCAUAUACUAAUGUGUGUUAGGACCAUCUUAUCCUAGAGGAUCAAUCUACUACGAUUCAUGCUUCAAAUGCAUCCAAAAAUUAAUUAUUAAUAUUUUUUUUCAUGUGAUAUGAUAAAAGUGGAAACACUUUAAUAUUUAUCCAUUAUGAUAAUUUCACUUUUAGGAUGAUUAACACCAUGACUUCAUACAAAUUGAUGGUGAUUGACUUGAAUAACUAUUCCUACAGUAUAUGAGAAAACUGAAGUAGUAUAGAAGGCGGCAAAGGCGACAAUAUGUCGGCGCCGAUAAUGAUGAUGACGAUGAGGAGGACGAUGACCAUGUGUCGGUUUGAGGAUGGAAAGUAGGGUUCUGUUGCAGCUUUAUGUCCAUCAUAGACCACAGAGACAGCCAUAAGUUGCUUAAGAAACGGCUAUCACGGUCAGACACAUGCAAUCGAGUUUGGCAAACCAAAUAUGUCCACACGUGUUGGAAGAAUAGCCACGCAGCUUCCUCGCUGUUGAUUGUCUCCUUGCACAGCACAAGUACUAUCAUUUUGGAGAAUCAAUCGACCAUCAUGUAAAGAUAGUCUUGACCCCACUGGGUCCUCGGGACGUCUUCUAAAGUCCAUGGAGACACUUUUUCCAAAGACGAGCCGAUACUGGAAGAGGGGUAUAGAGGCCCAGUUUGCGAUUAGUGGGCUUGGAUGUACAGCACAGGAUGCAUCCCUUCACAAGUUGUGUCACAUCGUUUUGCAUGUGAGGCCAAAAGACGUAGCGUUGCAGAUUUUGUAUGGUUUUAUUAACCCUAAUGUGACCUCCCACCUUUGAGGUAUGGAUUUCUUGGAUCCAUAGCACUCGAUCAGUCUCUUUAGGCACACAUAGCAAUGCACCCUCAUAUAGUAGCCCACCUUGGAAGGCAAACUUAUUAGGUCAUCCGGCUUCGAUGUAGCUAGCGCCAAAAUUAAAAAUCUGAGCCUUCUGCAUACAAGCUGGCAUACUCAUGAAAGCUUCACUGAACUUGCAUAAAUACUGAUAAGCAAAGUGCUGUCACUAAUCGUUGUGAUAGCAUAUUAUCCAGUUCAUUGUGGACGCCUUUCUUGUAUUUGAUCACCAGAUUGAACUGCUGCAAGUACGUCAUCCAUUUCAUGUGAUUGUUAUUUUAAUUGCAUUUGGAGGUACUAAAGCGCGUGGUGGUCUGUGUGCACCACUAUCUCCUUGCCUAGGAGGUAGACCCGCCAAUGCUUCACUGCUUGGUGUAGUGCCAAGAGUUCCUUGUUAUAGGUCGAGUAGUUCUUUUGAGCUCCUUGGAAUAUCUCGGAGUAGUACGCCGCAGGCCAGCCGUCUUGCAUCAAGACAACCUCUAUUACAUAUACACGACGCAUCCACCUCCAAUUCAAAGGGUCAUUGUAGAUUCGACAAGGCAAGUAUAGAGGCCUUGCAUAUCUUUUGUUGUAAAAGUCGGAACGUGUCCUCAUAUUUUGAACUCCAUUUAAACCUUUUGUUGGUCUUCGUAAGUGCAUGUAAUGGGGAACAAGGAGAAAAAAGUGCUAGAUAAACUUUCAAAUGUAUUGACAAGCGCUUGUGAAGCUCUGCACCUUCAUCACAUUUUUGGGCUAAGGCCACUCUUUGAUGGCCCUUUCCUUGUCAGGGUCAAUCUGAAGCUCACCACCGCCCACCAUGAACUUGAUGUACGCCAGGCUUUGCUUGCCAAACUCACACUUUUUACGGUUCAAGCGGCGUUGGUGUUCCUCGAGCAGCAUGAAAACCUUCUUGGCCUUCUUGACAUGCAUCAGGUGCUUCUCUCACGAUCGAUUGUAGAUGAGAAUGUCGUUGAUGUAGAGGAUCACGAAGUUAUCAAGGAAGGAGUGCAAAACGUUGUUUAUCAAUUGCAUAAAAGUGGCUGGUGCAUUACAAAAACUGAAUGGCAUGACGAGCCACUAAAACAGGCCAUGCUGUGUCUUGAAUGUGGUCUUCGAGGUGUCAUCCUCUCGAAUCCGCAUGUGAUGAUAGCCGAACUUUAGGUUCAGCUUGGUGAAAUAGCGAGCAUGUUUUAGCUGGUCCAGAAGAUCGUCGAUUCGCGGCAAGGGGUAUCGAUUCUUGAUGGUAAUUUUGUUGAGGAUGCAGUAGUCACUGCACAUUCGCCACCCACCAUCUUUGUUUGGAACCAACACAUUUAGGGAGCCAUAGGGGGAGUUGCUCGAUUUGAUAGCACCACUCUCGAGCAACUGAGUCUCCUGUCGUUUUAUCUCCUCAUUUUUCAUUACCAAGUUUUGAUACAUGCUAAGAUUCGGUAACGGAGUAUGUGAUCAACUGGAUCUCAUGUUCCAUGGCUCGCUUUGGUGGCAACUCCUGGACUUCCUGGAAUAGAUCCUGGUGCUCGCCAAUCAGCUUGGCGACAUCGUCAACAACUUUCCUACAAGCAAGAGAAACUCAAUACCUUGCUACUUGUCUCUUUAGGUUCAACUAGCCAAAUGACCAGCAAGGUAAACUUUUGGCAGGUAUUGAUCCUCCUCUUUGCUUGGCAAAUGGUCACCAUACCUACAGUUGUUGUCAAUGUCUUUGUAGUGAACAUAAAUUUCAAUCCAUCUUUAACAAAUUGUUACGAUGGGGAUGACAGAAGAAGAUGGCGUCGCAGUCCCACAGGUAGGGACUUCCGAAGAUGAAGUUGCAAAUAUUCAGUGGCACAACCUCGCACACUAAUUCAUCGAUGUUGAUACCAGUCAUCGCAAACUUCACCUUGCUGGAGAUCAAUCUUUAUCUCAAUGUUGUUAUUUAUCCACCCCAAUAGUUAUGGGUGUGGCUAUGGUGUAGUCGACAAACCUAGCUUUUGAACUAGGUUAUCCAAGAUCAAGUUCUUUUCGCUGCCAGGAUUGACAGUGGCAUCAAUCAUCUCAUUUUUGACUUGAACUCGAAAAGUGAAUAACUUCGUUCUUUUAUCAGUUGAAUUUGAUGGGCACAGUCCUUUGGCAUAGCCAUCAAAGAAAAGUUAGAGUCCGCCUUAUCAAUUUGUUUGAUUAAGGUAAGAGCAUCACUUGUCGAUGCUGCCAUUGUCGUUGUUGUCGUCGUUGUGCGUUUGCCACGGUCAUUCUUCUUCUUCGAUUUUAGCUCUAGAUGGAGCUUCCAACAUCGAUCCUUGACAUAUCCUGUGACUGUGCAAUGAUCACAGUACAAAUCAAGAUCAAAGGGCCCUUUCUUUUUUAGAGCUCUUUUUUAUCGACUUUUUGGGGCCCUCAACAAAUUCCCUCGAUGGCUUCUCCGUGCGAGACAGCGUGUUCUUCCGUUCAAUUGCCAUGGCUAUUUGGCUCGCUGAGGCGAUAUCGCGAACACAAAAGAGACGAAGCUCAUCAUUGAUGCACUCCUGCAGUCCGGCUGUGUAUUUAUGAAAAAUUAAGAUCGUCAAGGGAGAUGCCAAGCACCAAGGCUUGGCACUGGAAGUUGGUGGUGUAAUCCUGCAUGUUUGGUAGCGUCUUUGGCCCAUGACAUGCCAGCGCUUCCAUCGUUUCUCUUCACACCUCAUAGAGUAGAAUUUCUUGCGGAUCAGUCACUUGAACUGAUUCUAGGUGAAAUUCUCUUUGGCAGAAGUUUGAAGAGUGACCUUCCACUAGGUCAAUGCAUGACCCACUAGCUUUAGUUUUGCAAAAAUUACCUUUUUCGCAUUGCUAUAGUUGCAGAGGUUGAAGUAUGUCUCUAGUUGGUCAAGCUACGCAUCGAGUUUUUCAACGUCGAUAGCGUCGUCGUAGUUGGGGAUCUCGACCUUGACCUCAAUCUUGAACGGUUGCGACCUCACUCCUACAAGCGAUGGAGCCAUGCACCCGUCAUUGUUGGUGUCGUUACCGUCUCACGCACCUGAGGAAUCUCGCAGCACCCUUCGUUGGCGUCACGCACGCCUUUGGAGAAGUGUUCUUGAGAUUCGACUACUCUUCUCAACCGGCAUUGCCGAUGGUGCUGCAAAUUGGGCCUUGAUCCAAUCUAAGACAGUCUUCAUGUCGUUCGACAGUGCGGUGACCUUGGCGGUAAGAUUGGAUGGUGUCAAUGUCUGCUUAUCUACCGACAUGUUAAGCGUGCUCUUCGUUUUCCUCGUAGAUGGCCUGCAAAAGAUGUCAAGGACGAAAAGUUGUUUGUCGAUAACUUUGUAGACGUUUUUGAUUUGCACCAUGCACAAGGAUCGUACGCUUUGAUACUACUUAAUUUGUCGUCGUCAGAGGAAGCAAUGUCGCGGCGCCUCCUCAAUGGAUACCUGAAACCACAUUAGAAAAGAUAAAUACAAUGAGCACUUGGUGAAAAAACUUUGUAUAUUUGCUAUCUAACUGGAAUGUCGUUACAAGGGCCAAUAGAACCCCUAUUUAUAGCAGGCUUAUAAGAAGAUAGGAAUAAAAUACUUGAAAAAUAUGCUACCUCAUAUUCUUAUCCUUAUCCAAAGUGAUUUAACAAUUUGAUCCUUCGUCUGAUCCGCUAAAACCAUCUUGAUCCUUAUCCUAACCGAAGUAAUUGUAACUGCCUCUGCCUUAUCUGUAAUGAUUGAAACUUAUCCUGUAUUUCGAUUGUCCUAAAUCAAUAGUGGAACACGGGCUCGCCAACAGAUUCGCUACAUAUACGAAAAGCCCCAUGCAUGUGAACCGUUUAAACAUGCAAAGAAAAUAAAAUCUACUAUAGCUAUAUAUAUUAGAACUAGAAAAUAAAACUAAAACAAAUCUAUAGCCACACUAUACAUAUACCAACUCCCAAAAUAGUAUAUUAACCACAUCUCUGAAUAGAAAAUAAAAUAUACAAGUAAGCUGGCCUUGCUAGUCCUAAUAUGUACAAUAUGCUAACCCCCAAAAAUCGGCCUCUAUUGGGUGCUCCACUAACGCUAUUAGCUCAGUUAGGGAAGCUACUAGCUUGUGACUCCCUUACCUCGAUCAGAUGCUGCAGUAGGAGCGGAGGGUUCUGAUAAAAAAAAAGAGCAACAACAAAGAGCGUAAGAACUACUGUAAAAGUAGUCUCCAGUGGGCACCGUCACCGACGACAACGACCUAUCCACUAGGUCUACUAGAAGCAUAAGUAUAGAUGAUCUAUUGUAUAGCAAGAACAAAUAAAAGCUGUUAUAGAAACUCUAUAGCUACUAUGCCUCUAAACUAUAGAUACUAAAGAUAAAUCUACUAGAUGUAAAUAUAUGCAUCAACUAACUAUCAGGUACUUACAAAAAUAAUGCAAUCCUACUGACCGACUUGAGGGUCCGAUUAAGCUUGCGCCUACCCUGCGUGGCACUACUUUUGUAGGUGGCUUGUUAAUAUGUAGAUCAUCUACCAAGGUUGCUCCAACAUCAACACUAUAGUCAGACUGCAGAGUGGCACUUGAGGGGUGCGACCCUAUUGACUAAAUGACAUAAUCUGUCGAGCUCAAAGUCAAUGCAGAUGAUCUACCAUAUCAUAACUAAUGCCAUCCACAUGCCCCUGGAACAAUUCGGAGUGUAAUUCAAUGAUCUAAAACCACCAUAUCACUAUACGAUACAGUAAAUACUAACCACUCUAUCAACUAUUGUACUAACUGUCUCAGCCAUCAACACAGGUAUAAAAUCAUUCUACACUAUUCUGAAUCAUCCUUACCCACUAAUUUGGGUGAAAAGUAGGUAAAAAUAGGUGUUGACGACAAAUAGAAACGAUAGGAUAUCCAGACGUAGUAUAGGUUUUAUCUAACUAUAGUCUAGUUCUUCACUAUAAUAAAAUCUGCCACAUGUAAGUUUAACAUGAUCAAUACUAGAAACUCAGUAUACCAUAUGAAUUUCCAUGAUUCCUUAUUUAAACAUUCAGGUUCAGCAAUUAAACAUAAAGCAUAUAGGAACUAAACUAGGCAUAAAAAUAAUUCAUCGUUUUCAAUAAAUUAAACCCACCUCAGCUAUAAAAUCCAACAGUGAAAAAGGUAUAACUAGCUUCUACACGUCUCCCUCACUGCUCUAGAAUCAACAGGAACUUAGCAAAAUUCAAAAAAUUCGGCAAGAACAUUGCUAGGAUAACUGAAGUCUGAAAUUCAAUAAGAAAAACCACUUCAACUCAAGAAAUCUAUAUUUACAUCAACAAUUAACUCAACCUACCACUAAACCCAACUAGGAGUAGCUCCAAAUCAACUGGAAGUGUCAAAAAAAAAAAGAAAAAAAAAAACAAAAAGCCAGCAAUAGCUCUGCUAGAAGAAUCAGACUAAAAAAACUAAUGAAAAGCCAUUUUGAGCUCAAAGCAUUAAUUAAACUCCAAACUCAGCCCUACUAACCUGAAAUUCAGCUGCAAGGAAUGAUCCAAAAGCUCCCUUCCUUUAGCUAAACCAUGAGCAAGACCCAAUUCAAAAACUAGAAGCUCCAAUGAAACCAAAAUCCCAAGCUUCAGCUACUGCAACUACUACCGUUGCUGUUUCCUAGCCCGCAAAUGAGGAAAAAGUAGAAGGAGAAGGAGAUGGGAAUUAAGGUCUCUAGGAUAUAGGGAUUCGAAAAGAAGUAAAGGACCAGCCCACUGGUCAAUUUAUAGGUGAAAAGAAUGAGUAAAAUAAGCCCUCUGAUCAAACGAAAUAAAUCUGUUUCAGCAGAAAUCCCAUAUUUCGGGCGCCCGGAGCCACCUUCGGGCAUCCAAAAAGCCUCACAUCAGCAUCCAGAAUGCAAAAUAGGUGCCCGCAGUUAGGGUUCGAAUCACCUACCUAUGCUCAAAUCUGAAACAAUCAUUGUGCAUGUGUCAACAGGCUUCAAUAUGCUUGAAGAGUUCGCCAACUCACUUUCGGGUUGCUAUAGUGUUUUCAGGACAUUCGGAAAGAGAGCCCGAAAUGACUUUAGUAACUCCUGCAGCAUUGCACUACACAUCUGGGUGCCCAGUUCAUCAUUCGAGCGUCAGAAAGUGGCCAGAAUUUCAAUUCUAGCUGAUUUCCAUACUCCAGAUCCGUUUUCGCAUCCAUUUCGCACCAAAACGACUCCGACUCAACUGACACUCUACAGAUGUGUCUGUUGGGAUCAAAAAAAUUUUAAAAUUCAAAUUGAGAAUAUAGAAGGAAUGAAAUAAAUAAAUUGAGGUGAUUAAUACUUGCCUUAGAUGACCAACCAUAAAAGAGGAAAGAAAAUAAGAUUAUAUGGUUGCCUUAUUUCCAAAUUCUUUUGAAUUAUUUCCCUAAAUGAAGAGAUCCUAGAACCACUAUAAAUUGGAUCAUGAGAUUCAAAGAAAAAAAAAUUUGGGAGGUUUCAAAAAAAAAAAGAAAAAAAGAAGAGAGGGCGCGUCAGGAGGAGGGCGCCUGUCUCUCCCUCUCUCUCUGGUUCGUACAUAGAGAGAGAGAGAGGAAGUUGGGUGCCCUCUCUCAGGCCAACAAAAAAAAAAAGAAAGAAUGAAAGAAAAAAAGAGAAAAAGAAACUAAAAAAACAGAGUUGAAGCACGAUCACGCUGGCGACGGCUGCGACAACGACGAUGACGAUCAUGGCGACUUCCACAACGAUAAAGGGUAAUGCAUACAUCCAAAUGGUAUAAGUACGAAUUUUUUUUUUCGGUUUGAUCAACAUGACCAUCUUCGUGAGAGGCUCGAACCGAUCAAAUUCGAUAUUAAAUUGUUACUUUUACCAUGUGUAUGCAUUGCUAAUCCUUAUACCGAGUGGCCAUCUUCGUGAUAGGCUCGACACAGUCAAAGGGUUGAUCGAGCAGCCAUCUUCAUAAUAGGCUUAGCACGAUCAAACCUGCAUAUGCAUCACUAAUCCAUAUAUCGAUCGAGCGGCCACAUGAUAGGUUCAACACGGUCAAAGGAUUGAUUGAGCGGCCAUCUUCAUAAUAGGCUCGACAUGAUCAAACCCACGUAUUUGAAUAAAUUAUAUAUAUAUAUAUAUAUAUAUAGAGUGAGGCUACUAUGCUAUCGGAAGCACGGAGCCUUUCGUGUUUCCAGCUCGUUUUCAAUGUUGUGAGUUUCGAAUCGUCGAUCGGCUCCGUUAAAUUUGAUCUAGAGUAUUUGAAGUACCUGAAAAAUAAAUUUUAUGAUUUUACGAUAUCAUUUGCCUAUUCUGUGAACGAAUAUGGGUUGCUCAAAUCAAACGCGGCUGAAAAUAAAAUCUUACAAAAUGUAAUAUAUGACAUUAAUUUUAAAUCAAAGAUAUUGAUCUUGUUUUAUAUAGUAUAAAGAAUUUUCUAUCAAAAUUUACGUGAUUUAGAUAUUUUUACACGUUAACUUGCAAACGGCUCACUACGGCCAUUGAAAUUUGUUUGAUUUUGAGCCAUUCGAUCACUAGGCAAAUGGUAUCGAAAUAAUAAAAUUUAUUUUCUAGGUACUCCAAAUACUCUAGAUCAAGUUUAACGGAGCCGAUCGCGAUUCGAAAGUCGCAAAAUCGAAAAACGAGCUGGAAGCACGGAAGGCUCCGUGCUUCCGAUAGCAUAGUAGCUUCACUCUAUAUAUAUAAUUAUACUAUAUAAUAAUAUAUAUAUAUAUAGAGAGAGAGAGAGAGAGAGACUACUAUGCUCUUAUGAGUAUAGAGCCUCUUGUACUCAUAAAUUUUUGACCAUUAGAUCUACCCAUUAAUCAUUUUCACCCGUUAGAUUAUACUAUUCAAUAAACCACCCACUCAACCCUAGGGGGCCCACUAUCACACUAACCGUAACUACUCUCAUCCUAACCCAUAUUUUUUCAUCCGAACGGUAUCAAACUUAUGAGUACAAAGGGCUCUAUACUCAUAUGAGUAUAGUAGCCCUAGCCUAUAUAUAUAUAUAUAUAUAUAUAUAUAUAUAUAUGAUGAGCAUAUUUUGAUUGUUCAAAUCAUUCGUCAUUUUCGUGAUAGGCACGAUUCGACUUGAUCAACUCACCAUCUUCGUGAUAGGCACAUAUUUGAUCAAAUUGUCAUUUUCGUGAUAGAUGUAGCUUGACUUAAUCGAACCCGUGUUUGAAACGGGUUAUCUUAGCAACACCCCACAAGUGCCAAAAAAAAAAAGAAAAAAAAAGAAGAUGAUUCAUGAA
Molecule: long non-coding RNA, 21086 nt
Filed under: Ananas comosus (pineapple)
Lineage: Eukaryota; Viridiplantae; Streptophyta; Magnoliopsida; Poales; Bromeliaceae
Description: long non-coding RNA (ACOM_LNC029293)
Source: RNAcentral